This 398-nucleotide long non-coding RNA is filed under the name Brassica napus (rape). RNAcentral's name for it is "long non-coding RNA (BNAP_LNC012854)". Lineage: Eukaryota; Viridiplantae; Streptophyta; Magnoliopsida; Brassicales; Brassicaceae. The record is from RNAcentral.
GUUUAGGGAGAGAAGUGUUUAGGACAGCUAGUUCGUGCCCACACGGUGUCAGUGGUGGUCCUCGCCAAAUGGGGUUUGAUUAGAAGGACCAGUGUCCAGUCCAUAAGGGAUGUGACCAUUUCUCUCACUUUUUGUUCUUUUGAUCAUAUGAGGAAAUUCCUUUUCAAAUAAUGAAAACAAAAACUUGAACUUAAAGAAUGUUUGUUUACAUUUACAACGAAGGUUUUUGUGUGUUCGACAAUGUUAGACUAAAUCAAGAGAUUAAAUGGGUUUAAGAGUAUAUCUCGUACAGAAUGUUCCUAUUUCAUAAUUGUCCAGUAAUCCUCCAUAUGAAAUGAACUCUUCUAUUCUUCUGUAUAUAUCGACCAGCUGUCUGAUUUUGAAAUAAUUCUAUAAUC